CGCGCCUGUAAUUCAAGUCACCGGGAGGCUGAGUCUGGAGGAUCGUUUGAGUUCAGGAGCUCUGAGCUGCAGUGGACUGUGUCGAUCGGGUGUCCGCACUAAGUUCGGUAUCGAUAUGCUGAUCCUGGGGGAGCUCGGGACCAGCAGGUCGUCUAAGGAAGGGUGAACCGGCCCAGAUCGGAAACGGAGCAGGUCAAAGUCCUCGUGCCGCUCAGUAGUGGGUUCGCGCCCGUGAAUAGACGUUGUAGUUCAG
Molecule: signal recognition particle RNA, 253 nt
Filed under: Xyrichtys novacula (pearly razorfish)
Lineage: Eukaryota; Metazoa; Chordata; Actinopteri; Labriformes; Labridae
Rfam family: Metazoan signal recognition particle RNA
About the family: The signal recognition particle (SRP) is a universally conserved ribonucleoprotein. It is involved in the co-translational targeting of proteins to membranes.
Source: RNAcentral